GAGAAUGUUGAUGUUACAGCAAUUGCUGGGAGUGGUUGAAAUACUUCAAUUGAUGACCAAUUGUCAUCAUUUAUAGAAGAGAAACCAGCUGGAAAAGCAUGAAGAUGAAUUUUGCAUUUUAAACUAGCUAGAGAUGUCAAGCGAGAAGAGCAAACUUGGUGAUCAAAUUUCGCAGCUAAUUAGACACAUUAAUUGGAGCAAUAUGAUAAGUAAACGGGCACGGUACUUCGGAUGGGUUUCCAGAUAUGCUCUAUCUCUCCAAAGCGGUAAUUGAGGAAGGUAAGGCCUGGAUUACUCGGGUCGGCAUCUCUCAAAAGUGGAACAAUCUUGAUGUCAUGGAGAUCAAUGAUGUGACCACCUUGGAUUUGCAUGCUCUACCAUAAUGGUGAUUAACUAUGUAUGGUUGUUCCUAAGAACUUGAUUUGCUUUGAUGAAAAUUAUUCCCUUCACAAUUUCAUCGUUGAUGCCGAAGAGAAACUUCCAUCCCUGUAGGAAUCAACUCUUCUUAAAGUGGGAUACCGAUAUGAAGGUUCUCGGUAGAGGUUCCAGGGAAACCCCUCACCGCAAGUUUAAGCUAACAAUUCAGAAAUUUGUUUAUUAGAUUCUGAGGAAAAGGGUUGCUAUAUGUUAUUGCUAGGCUACAGUUUAUGUUGUUGCUAUUUGAAGGUCCAAAGGAAGAAUCCACUCAUCGAGACGGGGUUAUUCGGAACAUCACACGUUGAUCAACUAAUAUUCAUCUGCUUCUCACGUUCCACUAAUAUGAUAUGCCUAACCCACUAUAUCACUCAAAAUUAGCACAACAUCAUCAAGGAAAGUUACUAUAGAUUCAAUAGAAAUGGUCAGUCUAAAAGCACAAAAUUGGUACUUGAUUGCUAAUGGAUAACAAGGAGGUUGACAACGAAGAACAAAUAUAAUUGGAAUAAGAACAAGCAAAAUGAAAAACAUGAAUAUGGUGGGCAGAUCUUGGUCUUAAUGUAGAGGGCCGUCUCUACUUUCUGGAUCUCGAUGAUAAGCAUCCUCCGCAUUUUGAGCAAAAACAUUUCUGCCGCUAGAAAUCUGAUUUGGUAACACAAAUGCCAAGACAUGAUAUAUAGAGCGGUUCUUCAAUGAUGCAAACCUGGUACGCUGUCCUCAAAACUUCAACUUAGAAUUGUAUUUAUAUAUGUGGAUAGAUAGACUGGUAGGGAGGACUAAUGUUUAUUAUUCUUUUUGCAAGGAAGGUAUAUCUUCUUUGACGGCUUCUGUGAUUUGGCUACUGUAAUAGUAUAAAAACAGUUCCACCGACUAUUUCUUUGUCAUGAUUCUCUAUAAGACUCUAGGUAAGGCAAAUAGUGGAAUAGAUUCAAAAUAUCAUGCAUAUCGAUCUUCACCAUCUUAUUAUUAAGAGUUUUUGCAACAUUUGUUUCUAGGCACAUAUACCCUGUAAGCAUUGUGGACACUAUUAGAAUUUAUGGCACUGGACAUUCCAUGCAUUAUUAUCGUAAAAAAAGAACAUGGGACUUAAAGAUUUGG
This is a long non-coding RNA of Papaver somniferum (opium poppy), 1512 nucleotides long. RefSeq lists it as uncharacterized. The transcript has 3 exons. Lineage: Eukaryota; Viridiplantae; Streptophyta; Magnoliopsida; Ranunculales; Papaveraceae. The record is from RefSeq and is a predicted model, not a curated record.